GAGAAAUUUUUCUCCUGAAGCCUCAAAUCU
This 30-nucleotide non-coding RNA is filed under the name Mus musculus (house mouse). The record is from RNAcentral. Lineage: Eukaryota; Metazoa; Chordata; Mammalia; Rodentia; Muridae.